RNAcentral lists this ribosomal RNA (685 nucleotides) under Leifsonia xyli. RNAcentral's name for it is "bacterial SSU rRNA". It matches the Rfam family "Bacterial small subunit ribosomal RNA", at positions 61 to 757 of the family's 1533-position model. The record is from RNAcentral. Lineage: Bacteria; Bacillati; Actinomycetota; Actinomycetes; Micrococcales; Microbacteriaceae.
GUCGAACGAUGAACCCGGAGCUUGCUCUGGGGAAUUAGUGGCGAACGGGUGAGUAACACGUGAGUAACCUGCCCUUGACUCUGGGAUAACCUCCGGAAACGGAAGCUAAUACCGGAUACGACGUACGGAGGCAUCUCCUGUACGUGGAAAGAACUUCGGUCAAGGAUGGACUCGCGGCCUAUCAGGUAGUUGGUGAGGUAACGGCCCACCAAGCCUACGACGGGUAGCCGGCCUGAGAGGGUGACCGGCCACACUGGGACUGAGACACGGCCCAGACUCCUACGGGAGGCAGCAGUGGGGAAUAUUGCACAAUGGGCGCAAGCCUGAUGCAGCAACGCCGCGUGAGGGAUGACGGCCUUCGGGUUGUAAACCUCUUUUAGUAGGGAAGAAGCGAAAGUGACGGUACCUGCAGAAAAAGCACCGGCUAACUACGUGCCAGCAGCCGCGGUAAUACGUAGGGUGCGAGCGUUGUCCGGAAUUAUUGGGCGUAAAGAGCUCGUAGGCGGUCUGUCGCGUCUGCUGUGAAAACCCGAGGCUCAACCUCGGGCCUGCAGUGGGUACGGGCAGACUAGAGUGCGGUAGGGGAGAAUGGAAUUCCUGGUGUAGCGGUGGAAUGCGCAGAUAUCAGGAGGAACACCGAUGGCGAAGGCAGUUCUCUGGGCCGUAACUGACGCUGAGGAGCGAA